GCUAAAGAAUGCAAGUGCAGGGGGAAAGACUGUCCUAUACAUUCCUCCAAUCCAGGAAGAGCUACACACUCAGCCGGUGCCCCCUGACUCCAGCUCCUUCUCCAAUAUGCCAAAGGCGAUGUGCCACUCAUGUCAAACCAGCUACCCACUUCAACUCUUAGCACUGCAUGUUGAAACAUGUCAGCCUUCAGAUACUAAUGCACAGGAGACUUGUAAUGAAGACCCAGAGGACGCAUCACAUCCCAUACCACAUAGAGAAGACAAUCAACUUAACUCACAUCUAAAGCAUGUGGAGGAAGAUGUCAUUACUUUGUCCUCAAAUGCAAAGGUAAUGUUGAGUGCAAUGUGUUGAAUGUCUGUCUUUGAGGCAUUAUUGACUCUAUCGUUCAUAUUGUUUCCU
Long non-coding RNA from Oreochromis aureus, 400 nucleotides. RefSeq lists it as uncharacterized. Lineage: Eukaryota; Metazoa; Chordata; Actinopteri; Cichliformes; Cichlidae. The record is from RefSeq and is a predicted model, not a curated record. The transcript has 3 exons.